Molecule: transfer RNA, 76 nt
Filed under: Burkholderiales bacterium
Lineage: Bacteria; Pseudomonadati; Pseudomonadota; Betaproteobacteria; Burkholderiales
Also listed under: 2 other names
Description: tRNA-Lys
Rfam family: tRNA
About the family: Transfer RNA (tRNA) molecules are approximately 80 nucleotides in length. Their secondary structure includes four short double-helical elements and three loops (D, anti-codon, and T loops).
Source: RNAcentral
GGGCGGUUAGCUCAGCUGGUAGAGCAGCGGACUUUUAAUCCGUUGGUCGGGGGUUCGAAUCCCCCACCGCCUACCA